AGUGAACGCUGGCGGUAGGCCUAACACAUGCAAGUCGAACGGCAGCACAGUAAGAGCUUGCUCUUACGGGUGGCGAGUGGCGGACGGGUGAGGAAUACAUCGGAAUCUACUUUUUCGUGGGGGAUAACGUAGGGAAACUUACGCUAAUACCGCAUACGACCUACGGGUGAAAGCAGGGGAUCUUCGGACCUUGCGCGAUUGAAUGAGCCGAUGUCGGAUUAGCUAGUUGGCGGGGUAAAGGCCCACCAAGGCGACGAUCCGUAGCUGGUCUGAGAGGAUGAUCAGCCACAGUGGAACUGAGACACGGUCCAGACUCCUACGGGAGGCAGCAGUGGGGAAUAUUGGACAAAGGGCGCAAGCCUGAUCCAGCCAUACCGCGUGGGUGAAGAAGGCCUUCGGGUUGUAAAGCCCUUUUGUUGGGAAAGAAAAGCAGCAGGUUAAUACCCCGCUGUUCUGACGGUACCCAAAGAAUAAGCACCGGCUAACUUCGUG
This 492-nucleotide ribosomal RNA is filed under the name uncultured bacterium. RNAcentral describes it as "partial 16S ribosomal RNA". It matches the Rfam family "Bacterial small subunit ribosomal RNA", at positions 29 to 507 of the family's 1533-position model. The record is from RNAcentral.